AUAAAAAAACAAAAUCCCCAUCGGAGUUAGCGAGCUCGUUCCCAACUCAGUCUCUUCAUGGCUCACCCCCGAGUCACCAACUCGCUCAGUUCCACCACCACAAUUUCACUCUUCUGCAACCACCAUAACCCUAACAAUCCGAAGAAACCCUUUGUUCUUCUUCCAAUUCGCGCUUGCCCAUGCCGCCCACGCCCUUCCCAAUCCCUAAUUCUCCAUAAAGCUACUCCAUCAUCCUUCUUCUUCUCUAAUUGCAAGCCGUUGCUCCGGUUCACCCGCCGAACCGGAGCCUCGCCUCCACCGCGCGUGAUUGGUCAGGCCCAACCGGAACACCUUCCACAGAGCAAUGCCGAAGGGGAAGACGUGCUCUUGAAACCUCAAGUUAGUCAGCUUAGGAACAGAAUUGUUUUUGGACUUGCGAUUGGAAUAACCGUAGGUGGUGUUGUUUUGGCUGGAGGGUGGGUUUUUGCAGUUGCCAUGGCUGCUGCUGUUUUUGCUGGGGCACGUGAGUAUUUUGAAUUGGUUCGGAGUCGUGGAAUUACUGAAGGAAUGACACCUCCUCCACGCUAUGUCUCACGAGUCUGCUCUGUCGCUUGUGCCCUAUUGCCCUUGUACAUCAUGUAUCGUGGUCAUAUUGAUGUCUCUGUAACUUCUGCUGCAUUUGUUUUGGCCAUGGCAUUACUCUUACAAAGAGGAAGUCCACGCUUUGCCCAGCUAAGUAGUGCCAUAUUUGGAUUAUUUUAUUGUGGCUAUCUUCCGUGCUUUUGGGUUAAGCUUCGAUGUGGUUUAGCAGCUCCAGCCUUGAAUACGAGAAUAGGAGCAACAUGGCCUGUGCUUCUUGGUGGUCAAGCUCAUUGGACAGUUGGUCUUGUGGCAACUUUGAUUUCCAUUAGCAGCAUAAUUGCAGCUGAUACAUUCGCAUUUCUUGGUGGCAAGGUAUUUGGUAGAACACCACUUACCAAUAUAAGUCCUAAGAAGACAUGGGAGGGUACGAUAAUAGGCUUUUGUGGGUGUAUAGUUACUUCUGUUGUGCUUUCAAAAAUUUUCAGUUGGCCAAUGUCAUUAUCAAGUUCAAUAGCUCUCGGUGUACUGAAUUUCUUUGGAUCUGUUUUUGGUGAUCUCACUGAAUCAAUGAUUAAACGCGAUGCGGGUGUGAAAGACUCAGGCUCCUUAAUACCUGGUCAUGGUGGAGUACUAGACAGAGUGGACAGUUAUGUGUUUACUGGUGCGCUCGCAUACUCCUUCGUCAAAACCUUUCUACCUCUAUAUGGGGUAUAACAUGAAAAAUACUGGACUCGUUGACUUUUGUGUCUUCCUAAGGAUUCAACGUGUGAAUUGAACUUGAUAUUUGUGGAAACUUGGGAUAUUUUCAUGAGAUCAGAACACAAAAAAAAGAAAAAGAGGACACUUUUUCAUCAGGGAGCAGCAGGAAUUUUUCUUAUAUUCUCUCAAGCUAAGUUGAAAAUAGUUGGUUGCUGCUUUGGUUCUGAAUCUUAAAAUGAGGUCACUGAUAGUAGAACUAAUCAAAGUGGUAGCAUUCAUUGGUUGUAUUGUGACCUGUAAAAAUUAAUCACGAUUCAUUUUGCAAAAAAAAAAAAAAAAGGAUCGCUUGUGGUUGCCCCAGGUAUUUGUUCUAGCUAGCCAUGGAAGGGAAUCAUUUGUGGUAGUAAUUUUUCACAAUUAGUUAUUGUUUCCGCAUUUAUUUACUAGUCUCAAUUGUAUUUUAGCAAGGCUGAAAUAUAUUUUUCUGUAUUAAUAAAGGACCUGCCAGUAUACAUUAAAAUUCAGAAUUCACAUCAAGAGAAUAUUUUCCUUCCAGAUUUCUUCAAGGCAUCACUGCUUGGUGUGUACUUGUUUUAUAAAGAAUGUUUUAAUCCCGGGUCUUUA
RNA transcript from Arachis stenosperma, 1884 nucleotides. It is a transcript of the gene named phosphatidate cytidylyltransferase 4, chloroplastic-like, with no coding region annotated. The transcript has 9 exons. Lineage: Eukaryota; Viridiplantae; Streptophyta; Magnoliopsida; Fabales; Fabaceae. The record is from RefSeq and is a predicted model, not a curated record.